GGGGAGAUGGCCGAGUGGUUAUGGCGCUGCGUUCAGGUUGACCUGGAUCUACUAGUUUCUAGUCUCGCAGUGGAGCAAUCCGCGUGGGUUCGAGUCCCACUCUCCUCA
This is a non-coding RNA of Hypoxylon sp. FL1150, 108 nucleotides long. NCBI's taxonomy places the organism in Eukaryota, Fungi, Ascomycota, Sordariomycetes, Xylariales, Hypoxylaceae. The record is from the annotation of a GenBank genome assembly.